UAGGGAAUCUUCCACAAUGGACGAAAGUCUGAUGGAGCAACGCCGCGUGAGUGAUGAAGGGUUUCGGCUCGUAAAACUCUGUUGUUGGAGAAGAACGGGUGUCAGAGUAACUGUUGACAUCGUGACGGUAUCCAACCAGAAAGCCACGGCUAACUACGUGCCAGCAGCCGCGGUAAUACGUAGGUGGCAAGCGUUGUCCGGAUUUAUUGGGCGUAAAGCGAGCGCAGGCGGUUUUUUAGGUCUGAUGUGAAAGCCUUCGGCUUAACCGGAGAAGUGCAUCGGAAACCGGGAGACUUGAGUGCAGAAGAGGACAGUGGAACUCCAUGUGUAGCGGUGAAAUGCGUAGAUAUAUGGAAGAACACCAGUGGCGAAGGCGGCUGUCUGGUCUGCAAACUGACGCUGAGGCUCGAAAGCAUGGGUAGCGAACAGGAUUAGAUACCCUGGUAGUCCAUGCCGUAAACGAUGAGUGCUAAGUGUUGGAGGGUUUCCGCCCUUCAGUGCUGCAGCUAACGCAUUAAGCACUCCGCCUGGGGAGUACGACCGCAAGGUUGAAAC
RNAcentral lists this ribosomal RNA (555 nucleotides) under uncultured bacterium. RNAcentral's name for it is "partial 16S ribosomal RNA". It matches the Rfam family "Bacterial small subunit ribosomal RNA", at positions 355 to 900 of the family's 1533-position model. The record is from RNAcentral.